UGUGAGGGUUGCUGGAGGUAUCAGAAGUGCGAAUGCUGACAUAAGUAACGAUAAAGCGGGUGAAAAGCCCGCUCGCCGGAAGACCAAGGGUUCCUGUCCAACGUUAAUCGGGGCAGGGUGAGUCGACCCCUAAGGCGAGGCCGAAAGGCGUAGUCGAUGGGAAACGGGUUAAUAUUCCCGUACUUGGUGUUACUGCGAAGGGGGGACGGAGAAGGCUAUGUUGGCCGGGCGACGGUUGUCCCGGUUUAAGCGUGUAGGCUGGUUUUCCAGGCAAAUCCGGAAAAUCAAGGCUGAGGCGUGAUGACGAGGCACUACGGUGCUGAAGCAACAAAUGCCCUGCUUCCAGGAAAAGCCUCUAAGCAUCAGGUAACAUCAAAUCGUACCCCAAACCGACACAGGUGGUCAGGUAGAGAAUACCAAGGCGCUUGAGAGAACUCGGGUGAAGGAACUAGGCAAAAUGGUGCCGUAACUUCGGGAGAAGGCACGCUGACACGUAGGUGAAGUGAUUUACUCAUGGAGCUGAAGUCAGUCGAAGAUACCAGCUGGCUGCAACUGUUUAUUAAAAACACAGCACUGUGCAAACACGAAAGUGGACGUAUACGGUGUGACGCCUGCCCGGUGCCGGAAGGUUAAUUGAUGGGGUCAGCGCAAGCGAAGCUCCUGAUCGAAGCCCCGGUAAACGGCGGCCGUAACUAUAACGGUCCUAAGGUAGCGAAAUUCCUUGUCGGGUAAGUUCCGACCUGCACGAAUGGCGUAAUGAUGGCCAGGCUGUCUCCACCCGAGACUCAGUGAAAUUGAACUCGCUGUGAAGAUGCAGUGUACCCGCGGCAAGACGGAAAGACCCCGUGAACCUUUACUAUAGCUUGACACUGAACAUUGAGCCUUGAUGUGUAGGAUAGGUGGGAGGCUUUGAAGUGUGGACGCCAGUCUGCAUGGAGCCGACCUUGAAAUACCACCCUUUAAUGUUUGAUGUUCUAACGUGGACCCGUUACCCGGGUUGCGGACAGUGUCUGGUGGGUAGUUUGACUGGGGCGGUCUCCUCCUAAAGAGUAACGGAGGAGCACGAAGGUUGGCUAAUCCUGGUCGGACAUCAGGAGGUUAGUGCAAUGGCAUAAGCCAGCUUGACUGCGAGCGUGACGGCGCGAGCAGGUGCGAAAGCAGGUCAUAGUGAUCCGGUGGUUCUGAAUGGAAGGGCCAUCGCUCAACGGAUAAAAGGUACUCCGGGGAUAACAGGCUGAUACCGCCCAAGAGUUCAUAUCGACGGCGGUGUUUGGCACCUCGAUGUCGGCUCAUCACAUCCUGGGGCUGAAGUAGGUCCCAAGGGUAUGGCUGUUCGCCAUUUAAAGUGGUACGCGAGCUGGGUUUAGAACGUCGUGAGACAGUUCGGUCCCUAUCUGCCGUGGGCGCUGGAGAACUGAGGGGGGCUGCUCCUAGUACGAGAGGACCGGAGUGGACGCAUCACUGGUGUUCGGGUUGUCAUGCCAAUGGCACUGCCCGGUAGCUAAAUGCGGAAGAGAUAAGUGCUGAAAGCAUCUAAGCACGAAACUUGCCCCGA
Molecule: ribosomal RNA, 1555 nt
Filed under: Salmonella enterica subsp. enterica serovar Enteritidis
Lineage: Bacteria; Pseudomonadati; Pseudomonadota; Gammaproteobacteria; Enterobacterales; Enterobacteriaceae
Description: partial 23S ribosomal RNA
Rfam family: Bacterial large subunit ribosomal RNA
Source: RNAcentral